This is a non-coding RNA of Elaeis guineensis (African oil palm), 2861 nucleotides long. The record is from RefSeq and is a predicted model, not a curated record. Lineage: Eukaryota; Viridiplantae; Streptophyta; Magnoliopsida; Arecales; Arecaceae.
AGUGCGUCACGGAAAAACUUCGAUUUAGAUAUAGAUUAUUGAAACAUACGGGUGCAUUUUUGUAAGCGACCACGUCAACUUGCCCGUUUCCGUGGCGCUUGAAGGGGUGCAAGACCACUGGAGAUAGCGUCUCCUCGCCUGCCGACGACGUUGCGAGGUGAGGCCGUUCUCGUCGGAGCGGCGUUGUUCGCGGAGCCGGAGAGAUGUCUAACGAUUUGCCAACCUCCUUCCCAAUGGUUCGAGCGAUCAAAAUAUCGUAUUCGGAGCUCAAGGAUAAGGAGCAGGAUUUGUCUGCCAAGAUCGAAGAAGGAUUCGGCCCGAGUGGGCUUGCCAUCAUCGCAAUCUCUGAUGUUCCCGGGUAUGCUCUGUUACGUCAAAAUCUUCUAUGUCUUUCAGGCAGAUUAGCAAGCCUACCUGAAGAUGCAAAGAAAGGUCUUGAAGACCCAGAUAGCAGAUACAAUCUAGGAUGGAGUUUUGGAAAAGAGAAGCUGAAAACAGGCAAGUAUGAUACCUUCAAAUGCUCUUUCUAUGCUAAUCCUGUUGUGGACAUACCUACAACUGAUUCUUCACUCUUGAAAAGGUACCCAUUAUACUGUCGACCAAAUAUAUGGCCAACCAAUGCUUUGCCUGAACUUGAACUAGCAUUCAAGUCUCUCAGCAAAUUGAUGCUGGAUGUUGGGCUUCUAUUGGCAUAUCACUGCAGUCGAUAUGUAUCAGAGGAUGCAAAAAUGUAUGGCAAUGAAGACCUUGAGCACAUAAUACAGCGUUCAAGAUGCCCCAAAGGUCGUUUGCUAUAUUACCUUCCAGUUCAACAGAGAAUAACCAAUCCUGAAGUUGUUUCCAGACACCAAUACUACAUUCCACGUGAAUUCAAGGAAGAUGCAUGCUCCAUGCCAUCAUGGUCUGACUGGCACACUGAUUUUUGUUGUCUCACAGGUCUUACUAGUGGCAUGUAUAUGAGAAAUAAUGAAAAGGUUACUUGCCCAGAUGGUGCUUCUGGCCUUUAUGUUAGAACGCGGAAUGAUCAAAUUGUCAAAGUUGUCUUUGGAGAAGAUGAAAUAGCAUAUCAAAUUGCUGAAACUGGAGAUGUACUAUCAAGAGGUCGUCUCUGUGCAACUCCGCAUUCUGUUCAGGCACCUACAGGAGAAAAGGCUUAUGGGGUUGGACGCUCAACUUUUGUCCUGUUUUUGCAACCUGACUGGUAUGUUCCAAUUUGGGAUGAGAUUCUUAAUUUUCCUGAAGAAAUACCUCAUCAUCUGAAGCUCAACUCAAAGUUAUCAAGCUGAUUGAAUGUUCAAGUGACAAAAUUAAGUUAAAUUAGGCUCUCGCUCAAGACAGUAAGCAAAUCGAACCUGAUGCUAAAAUUCAGGCUCAAAAACAAUAUGAAGCCCAGCUUGAUCAAGCUCAACUUGAUUACACGAGGUGGAGAAGGGGGAAGAUGAGGGAGAGGAGAGAAGACAGAACUGAAUGUAGAUUGGGUGAGAAGAGAGACAUGGCUGCAUCUGUUAAAAUCUAGGAGCAUAUAUGAUUAGUUCAAAUUCAGAUAUGAUCUCAGAUGAAAAGUUGACAUUUGGUGAAGAUGACCUGUAAUAUCUUUCUUUGAGAAUGCAGACGGAUGAGAGCCUGGCCAAAAAUCUAGGUGAGGGUGGGAUCGAACUCAUGUCUGUUGUAUCCUUACGAGAGAAUUUUCCAACUAAGUCAGUUGGCACCCUUGCAAGGAUGAUCUAUAAUAUCUAAAUUACUGACAGUAAAAGAUAGCGUACCCUUUGCUUAUACGCCAGGUUGUUACCAUAUUGUUGAUUUUCUUCAUUUGGAAUGAAAAGGCAUCAAUUCUUAUGCAUUUGCAUCUAUCAGCAUCAGACACCUUGCAUCCACACAGAAAUCCACAUCCAACUAUUGAAUCUUGCAGAGCGAUGUCUUUGAGAUUUGAACUCAGAGCGAACAUCGCAUGAAGCUUCUCUUCAGCAUUAGAGCCUGAGAUAUUGGCUGUGAUAGCACUAUACUUGCUGCUGGCAACAUGUUUCACUGUAUGAUAAAUAACAAAAAUGUAGCUUUGUGGGAUGAAUCUGCUUUAUCUUUCAUAACAGAUCUGUUGCUGAGAGAGUGGAUAUCCUUCGUGGAUAGCCUGAGUGCACGUCCUCGACCAUUGAUGCACUAGGGACUUUGGCCACCAAGGAUGCGGAAUGAUUUCGAAGAGUAGAAGUAUGUGUUUUCAACUAUUCUGGAAUUAGAUCGUGGGCGGCGUAUAUGUCAUGUUAAAGGGCAAGUCAAAUCCAGCGUAAGAGGUGGAAGGCAGGUCCCAGUCACACAUGUGGAAGUGGAGAUGGAACCCUAAACAACAUUUGCAGGAUGCCAUGUGAUUUGAUGCCGAUUCGGAUGGUGCCGCGUUGUUCUUGUGUCCCGUGAGAUGGUAAGGGACACUGCACCAAUUUGGCUUCAUGAAGGCAAAUAAAGCAUAAGGAUAAGGGGAAUCUAUACGGCGACCACCUGCUUUAAGACGCAGUAGCCUUCCCAGUGGCUUCGCCACGACUGCAGUCUUCAUUGGCAUGCGGUGCCUGAUUUAGGCGUGCAGCCAAGUCGGGCACGUGGCUAGAGGUUUCGAGGAGGUGGGACCCCAAGUGGAUGUCGCUGUCGGGAAAGCGUGGAGGUAGGAGCGAGGCACGCAUCUCGUAGGUCGGCAGCAGCGAGGGCGAGGGGACACGAUGUGGGAGGGGAUAAGGACGACACGUGGGGUGUCUCCGGGUUGCUCUACGCGCACACGGGACGCUCUUUCGUCCUUUUCCAUUGGCAUUUGGGGACCAAAUAACCCCACAUUUGACCGAAAUGGUCACUUUGAAUGAAGUUACAAAACUAUCCCUGAU